This 320-nucleotide long non-coding RNA is filed under the name Capsicum annuum. RNAcentral describes it as "long non-coding RNA (CANN_LNC006789)". Lineage: Eukaryota; Viridiplantae; Streptophyta; Magnoliopsida; Solanales; Solanaceae. The record is from RNAcentral.
UGAAUUGUAUGAUGUUCAUGAUAAACCUUAUUCAAGUUGCAUGAUAUUGAUGUAUUCAUGAUAAUUAAGUAUAGAAUUUGUGGUAUAACCAAAGCAUGCUCCCCAUAUGUUUGAUAGAAUGCUUAAGUAAAGAGAAUAGUGCCCUCUUUAGUAUGUUAAGCAUGAAAUUCCCAAUUAUGUGAUAACUAGUGCAUGCCAAGCGUUUGUUGAAAUUCCUUAGUGAAUGUAUUAUGAUAAGUUACAUGCAUUCUUAUCAAUGUGUAUUCCUUAUUGAACAACUAUGAGGUAUUAGUAUGCAUUCUCUAUACAUUUACAUGUUU